RNAcentral lists this long non-coding RNA (3354 nucleotides) under Helianthus annuus (common sunflower). RNAcentral describes it as "hypothetical non coding rna". The record is from RNAcentral. Lineage: Eukaryota; Viridiplantae; Streptophyta; Magnoliopsida; Asterales; Asteraceae.
UAACAAGUAACAACUUCGUUAUAUUUAAGUUAAUUCUAUAUGUGACGACUUAAGGGGCGGACUUUGGAGCGAUGCCGCGAUGGUAAGGUUGUUGCCAUGAAAAUAGCCUCUUGCAGAAAUGCAGGGUAAGGACUCGUAAAUCAGGCCCAACUUGGCCCGACACCCUGCUCCUACGGGAGCUGUGUGCACCAGGUUUUCCCUUUAUAUAUGUAACAACUUAAAGGUUAGUAUCUUUAGAAUCUUAUAAGUUGUAGAAAAGCUAGUUGUAAAUAUGUUUUUGAGACCGUUGUUAGUAUCCCUAUUAACUGUAACAACUGUCGUUAGUUAUGGUACUAACAACGUUGUUACAAUUAAGGAUUACAUGCUAUUACGGUAUUACCUAAAGAUCUGUAAACGAGCUUGUGUAUUUGUGAUUCCAAAACUGGAAUUUGCAGUGAUUUUGAUAACAGAGGCGUUCUUUAAUCUUCUCAAGAUUUCAUUUAAGAAUUUGAUUCCCUAUAUAACAGAUCUCCAUGGAAGAAACAAAUGAAACUAAAUACAUACAUACGGGUGUGUAACUCUCACAAGACACGUGAUAAAAGCCUGACACUUAAAACUUAUAAGUUUGUUUCUCUUUAGUUUAAGCUUUUGUAGCUUCCAAUGUAGCUGAGGCCUUGCUGGCUGUGAUUUGUUCAAAGAGAUCUCUGAUUUUCAAACCGACAAUGGUUUGGAAGAGACCGGUUCCGUUGUUGCUGCCCGGGAAGUCGGCAUGCUUCAACAUUUGUUGGGUAAUUUCUCCGUAGAAUUUGGUGGAGAUGUUGCUCAAAUGGCUCUCAACAUAGAUGAGCUCGUCCAGUUUGUCGAAUUGACCAUCCAUCUCCAAUACGGACACCUGGAAAGUAAAACAAAUAUUGGUUUACUUGCUCAUACUAGUGCACAAUAAAGGUGGCAAAAAGGAUUGAUUUGACCGGGUUGAGUAACGGGUCAAUGGGCUUUUUUCACAUUUAAGGUGGCUUGUUUCUUUUUAAGCUAAUCUAUUUAAUUUUACCCGUUUGACCUGUUAGAGAGGAAAGAACACAUGAAUUUACACAUUCGUAAGUUAAUGAUUUGAAAUUUACACCUCUACGAGAGAGAUUGUUAUGUAGAGUUAGGUGUGUAGAGUAACGUGUAAAAGAGCUUUUUUCACAUUUAAGGUGACUUGAAGCAUAGUUGUUAAUGGCGCUCAUAGCGAAGCGCUCAUUCAUAGCUAUCUGAUUCUGGAGCCUCCAUAGCGAGUAAAUAGUGGGAUUUCAGGUUUCAAAUAUAUAAAUAGUGAUAAAAUAUACGUAUACAAUAGCUGGAUUUUAGGUUUUUUGUUAAAUAUAUGUAUAGAAACACCGUAUUUGGAUUUUAAUAUACAUAUAAAAUAUUUCUAAAAUUUUCUUCUAGUGUAUCCCUAAACAUGAAAUAGUGCCUGCUAUUUCAUCGCUGUCGCUAUGUAGCGUAUAGGAUGCUUGUCGCUAUCGUCUGCUAUUCGCUAUUAACAACUAUGACUUGAAGCCAAUUUAACUUUUUUCUUAUUAAGUUUAUUUCGUUAGUUUUACCCGUUUAACUCGGCAGAGAGAAACAAUUACAUGAAUCUACACAUUCAUAAAUAAAUAGGUUGAAAUUUCCACCUCUAUUAGAGAGAUUAUUAUGUGGAGUUAGGGGGGUAGAGUAAUGUAUCAAAGAGCUUUUUUCACGCUGAAGGUGAUUUGCAGCCAAUUUGACUUGUUUCUUAUUAAGCUAGUUUCUUUAAUUUUGACCCGUUUGACUCAUUAGAGAGUAUAUAUCAUGAAUUUACACAUUCAUAGGUAAACUAUUAUGUGAAAUUACUUACCUCUUGACCGUAGUAAGUAUCGGGGCCAUAGGCGAACUUGAUACCCGGGUAAGAACAAGUGAGCUUCCUCCCACAGGGAAUCCAUGAGAUGGUGGAGCCUUCGUCGAACAAGUAAACCGGGCUGAAGUAUUUGACUCCCUCUUUCAUUAUCAGCUUCACUCUCAACACCUUCCCCUCAUUGUCAUCUGGAAUCAGCUGUGUAGGCAACACUUCAAUAACCGCAUCUGCGUAUUGCUUUUGUGGGUCUGCAACAUGAAAAUCAAAUUCAAAACAGAAUCUACUCAAAUUCUAAACCAGGUUUGACCCACCAACCUGUGAACAUGACAAUAUAAGAUCAUUGGUCGGAGUGAAGAGAAUUGGACUUACAUUGGGUGCAAACCUUCAAUGACAAGGAUCUUAGGUGGCUUGAUGAGCUCCGGAGGGUCCAAAAGACCACUAACAUGGUUAUAAAUCGGCUUAUCUACAGCAAUCCCAUCUUUUAAAGCCUUAACCUGUUCAUACAUGAGAUCAAAGUUAUUCGCUCUCGGAUCAAGCGCGGUCACCCCUUCCACCUUCCUCCCUGUUCUAUCCAACGAAUGGUAAUCAUCCAAACAUAUAACCGUUGUCGUGUCACUUAUGAGCGUGUUUGAAUCCGGAUUCCCUCCCUUUGGUGGCUCUGCUGCACCUCCAAACACACUAGUCAACCUCCUCAUGAACGUACUCUUCCCGCACCCCGAGUCGGCUGCUAGCCCGAUUACUAUUGUGUCGCCUGCGCAUCGUAUCUCACCGCCUCUCACCCUGCCCCUAUUGGUCUUUUUAGUAUAGAACAACACUUGUUGUUUUUGAAUUCCCAAAUGGGAUUUUGUUGGUGUUGAGAUUGAACAUGUUGAGUUGAGAGAUUGGACCGUGUACACUGUAGACACUGCCAUUUUUCUCUCUUGAAACUUUUUAAAGUUUUUAGAGUGAAAAGAAUGAUAAGAUAGCUUUUUAAUGAGUAACUGAAAAUGGGUUUUUGGUCAUUUUCUCCCUAGUGAUAGUUAUUGUGAGAUACAGAAUGAAGGAAGAGGUAGCUCAUAGUGGUACUCCUAGAGUUGCACAAGGUACAACUUGUAUACAAUCCCUGACCAUGAAAGUUUGAGGGCAUUUUAGUCAUUCCAACUGUUUGAGGAAAAAAAAAGGAUUGGGUGGUGAAGAUGAGGUGUAGACAUUUGUGAUGAUAGUAUGCAUGAAGAAGCUUGGUGGUUAUUUGUUGCAGUUUGGAUAUUUGUCAUGCCAUGUGGCAUCAAGGUAUUGGUUGAUUGAGGAUGAGGGUAGUUUGUGUGGAAUAGAACUUUGGGUUCUUAUAUGCCAACCAUAUCAGACCUUGACCAUCUUCUUAAUUACAGUACAAUUUUAAAGCAAUAGGUACAAGUAGCUAGUAAGGGUAUGCCCUUUUGGCUUUGGUCAACACUGUUUCAUGGACAUUAUGUGUUAGAUUAUGUUCUAAAGUGAUUUAUUCAAACACAUAGGACAUUGUGGAUAUUUUUUUAUAAUCAUGU